UACGUAGGGGACGAGCGUUGUCCGGAAUUAUUGGGCGUAAAGAGCGUGUAGGCGGCUCUGCAAGUCCUGCGUGAAAUCUCGAGGCUCAACCUCGAGCGGUCGUGGGAAACUGGAGGGCUAGAGUGCGGGAGAGGGAAGUGGAAUUCCAGGUGUAGCGGUGAAAUGCGCAGAUAUCUGGAGGAAUACCGGUGGCGAAGGCGGCAUCCUGGACCGGGAUUGACACUGAGGAGCGAAAGCUAGGGGAGCAAACGGG
This 253-nucleotide ribosomal RNA is filed under the name uncultured bacterium. RNAcentral's name for it is "partial 16S ribosomal RNA". It matches the Rfam family "Bacterial small subunit ribosomal RNA", at positions 524 to 776 of the family's 1533-position model. The record is from RNAcentral.